UGUGGGAGCUGGCUUGCCUGCGAUGGCGGCGGUCAAGACAGCCAUGCGGUGACUGACAAAUCGCUAUCGCAGGCAAGCCAGCUCCCACA
Molecule: unclassified non-coding RNA, 89 nt
Filed under: Pseudomonas sp. bs2935
Lineage: Bacteria; Pseudomonadati; Pseudomonadota; Gammaproteobacteria; Pseudomonadales; Pseudomonadaceae
Source: RNAcentral